RNAcentral lists this non-coding RNA (113 nucleotides) under Maledivibacter halophilus. Its description in RNAcentral is "Clostridium halophilum MoCo sequence". It matches the Rfam family "Molybdenum/Tungsten riboswitch aptamer (Moco RNA motif)". Lineage: Bacteria; Bacillati; Bacillota; Clostridia; Peptostreptococcales; Caminicellaceae. The record is from Rfam by way of RNAcentral.
AUAAAUACUUUACUCCGAUUCUGAAAAACCAAAUCAUGGCUUUUUGGAACGAUAGGGUAUAAGAAGUAAUUUUUAUGCCUGCCGAUGUGCAAAGGAGUUCAUCUAUUAGAGAU